RNAcentral lists this non-coding RNA (98 nucleotides) under unclassified sequences. Its description in RNAcentral is "PhotoRC-II RNA". It matches the Rfam family "PhotoRC-II RNA". The record is from RNAcentral.
UAACAGUUGUUCCUCUUUCAACCGAGACCUAUGGGGAGGUUAAACAUAGUCUCUCAUCUUACCUUCACUUGAGGGUGGUGAAGGAAAUCGGUAAAUUG